CCUACGGGUGGCAGCAGUGAGGAAUAUUGGUCAAUGGGCGGGAGCCUGAACCAGCCAAGUCGCGUGAGGGACGACGGUCCUAUGGAUUGUAAACCUCUUUUGUCGGGGAACAAAGGCGCCCACGGGUGGGCGGAUGAGUGUACCCGAAGAAAAAGCAUCGGCUAACUCCGUGCCAGCAGCCGCGGUAAUACGGAGGAUGCAAGCGUUGUCCGGAAUUACUGGGUGUAAAGGGAGCGUAGGCGGGAAAGCAAGUUGAAUGUUUAAGGUACGGGCUCAACCUGUACAAGCGUUCAAAACUGUUUUUCUUGAGUGGAGUAGAGGUAAGCGGAAUUCCUAGUGUAGCGGUGAAAUGCGUAAAUAUUAGGAGGAACACCAGUGGCGAAGGCGGCUUACUGGGCUUUAACUGACGCUGAGGCUCGAAAGCGUGGGUAGCAAACAGGAUUAGAUACCCCUGUAGUC
Molecule: ribosomal RNA, 459 nt
Filed under: uncultured bacterium
Lineage: Bacteria
Description: partial 16S ribosomal RNA
Rfam family: Bacterial small subunit ribosomal RNA
Source: RNAcentral